CCUACGGGAGGCUGCAGUGAGGAAUAUUGGUCAAUGGACGAGAGUCUGAACCAGCCAAGUAGCGUGAAGGAUGACUGCCCUAUGGGUUGUAAACUUCUUUUAUAUGGGAAUAAAACGUUCCACGUGUGGGAUUUUGUAUGUACCAUAUGAAUAAGGAUCGGCUAACUCCGUGCCAGCAGCCGCGGUAAUACGGAGGAUCCGAGCGUUAUCCGGAUUUAUUGGGUUUAAAGGGAGCGUAGAUGGGUUGUUAAGUCAGUUGUGAAAUUUUGCGGCUCAACCGUAGAAUUGCAAUUGAUACUGGCAGUCUUGAGUACAGUUGAGGUAGGCGGAAUUCGUGGUGUAGCGGUGAAAUGCUUAGAUAUCACGAAGAACUCCGAUUGCGAAGGCAGCUUACUAAACUGCCACUGACAUUGAUGCACGAAAGUGUGGGGAUCAAACAGGAUUAGAUACCCGAGUAGUC
Molecule: ribosomal RNA, 460 nt
Filed under: uncultured bacterium
Lineage: Bacteria
Description: partial 16S ribosomal RNA
Rfam family: Bacterial small subunit ribosomal RNA
Source: RNAcentral